UAAAAUUAAAAAGAUCGUAUGCUCAUACAUCUAAUGGGUGAUUUUUAGCUAUUAUAGUUUUGGCAAAACUUGUUUUGUUUCAUUGUCAACCAGUUUUGUCUAUAAUUUAACCAUGAAUCGUCUUACAAACGAACAAUAAAUAAUUGUCGAUUUUGGAGUGAAGAUCUGCCAGAAGCAUUGCAAGAGAUAUCAGUGCAUCCAGAAAAAGUCAGUUAGGUGCAGUUUCUAGGCUGGUGGCAUCAUAGGACCGUAUUUCUUCAAAGAUGAUGCGAAUCUUAACGUAACUAUUAAUGGUGAGCGCUACCAUAUCCAACUUUUUUUGUCCAAAAUGCAAGAAGUUGGCUUGCAUGGCAUGUUGUUUCAACAAGACGGCGAGUUCGGUGAACAUUUUAUUUCAUGUUCGGGACUGGUCAAUUGGCCACCUAGAUUGUGCGGUUUAACGCCUUUUGACUGGCUCAUGUCUAUAUAGACAAGCCUGCUUCAAUUGCAGCAUUGGAAGACAACAUUGAAGCAUUUAUUCGUGAGAUACCGGCCGAAAUGUUGGAAAGAGUAUGGAAAGUAUAUUGGACUAAGCGUAUGGACCAUGGAGUCGUAUGGAGUCACGGUCAACAAAAGCAUGAUAUAAUAUUCAAACAUUAGAUUAUAUGGACUAUACUAUUGAUUCAAUUACAGAUUUCAUUAAUUUUUCUGAAUUGUA
Long non-coding RNA from Stomoxys calcitrans (stable fly), 697 nucleotides. RefSeq lists it as uncharacterized. The transcript has 2 exons. Lineage: Eukaryota; Metazoa; Arthropoda; Insecta; Diptera; Muscidae. The record is from RefSeq and is a predicted model, not a curated record.